This 433-nucleotide ribosomal RNA is filed under the name uncultured bacterium. RNAcentral describes it as "partial 16S ribosomal RNA". It matches the Rfam family "Bacterial small subunit ribosomal RNA", at positions 29 to 507 of the family's 1533-position model. The record is from RNAcentral.
AACGAACGCUGGCGGCAUGCCUAACACAUGCAAGUCGAACGAGACCUUCGGGUCUAGUGGCGCACGGGUGCGUAACGCGUGGGAAUCUGCCCUUGGGUUCGGAAUAACAGUUGGAAACGACUGCUAAUACCGGAUGAUGACGUAAGUCCAAAGAUUUAUCGCCCAAGGAUGAGCCCGCGUAGGAUUAGCUAGUUGGUGAGGUAAAGGCUCACCAAGGCGACGAUCCUUAGCUGGUCUGAGAGGAUGAUCAGCCACACUGGGACUGAGACACGGCCCAGACUCCUACGGGAGGCAGCAGUGGGGAAUAUUAGACAAUGGGCGAAAGCCUGAUCCAGCAAUGCCGCGUGAGUGAUGAAGGCCUUAGGGUUGUAAAGCUCUUUUACCCGGGAUGAUAAUGACAGUACCGGGAGAAUAAGCUCCGGCUAACUCCGUG